UAGUGGGGUGGCUGCUGUUAACCUGUGUGCAUGCCAUUACCAUACAGUAUGCCCUGUGUGCCACUGCGAAUGAAGGAUAGGCUUUUAGGAGAGAGGAAAAGCUGCAGCUCCACACGUUCCUGUCUGAAGGAUGGUCCAGAAAUCCCAGACGUCUGGUCGCCUUCUCAUUUCCACCUCUGAGAGAACUAGAGAAGAUCGUUUCAUGUUGACGGACUGGGGGGAAAUGUGCUAAUGUUUAUGGAUGGAGAAACUGAGAAUGAGAAAGUAGGAGUGACCUGACUACAAACAUGAAGGAAGUUGAGGGGGGCUGAAAAUAUGACCCAUGGUCUUCUGAUGAAGUCUUCUUUCCCAUUGUGCUUCUCAACAAGUCUAGGUAUAACCAGGAGUAAAUAUCACUGGUUAUAUAGUGAGAAUAAUUAAUAACAGAUGGACAGGCUAAAUGCAGACCCUGAUGGUGGCCUCCAGCAAGUUGCACUGGUUCUUUCUGGAGAACUUAUGGAGGACUGUGCACAAGAAUCAUACAGAAUGAGGUAUAAGUGACUCACCCAGAAUCAUACACCAAUUUUGUGCCAGAGGCAGGAUUUGAAUUCAGGUCUUCCUGACUCUGCUAGGAAUCACAUGAUCUUCUUUGUCUAAGGGUUGGGGUGGGCAGGUUGUUGAUGUCAGAACAAGGAAGCUCAUACUAGAUACAUUCCAUUUUUUAGUUAUUAUACUCUGAUUCCAUCUCUUGAUAUUUCAAUGGUUCCGUGAUAUCAUAGACCUUGAUAUUUGCACCAAUUAUGCCAUUAACAGCUCAUCCCUGCCUUCCCAUCCUGUGCAUUUUUUUUUUCAUUUCUCAUGAAUCUUCCCCAGAAGAUUCUAAGAGUCUCUUAAUAUGGUUUGGAUACCAGCAGAGCUGUAUACUUUGCAUCACUCUCAUGUGACAGGGCCAUCUUUUUUCCCCCCAGGUCAUUGAUUUCUCUGAUGACAUCUUUUAUACAACUUUUUAAAAGCAAUUUAUUUGUAAUGCAUCACAGCAGACUUGUGUCCAUCACACCCUAAUCUAUCACAUCUUUAGGCAAGUCUUCACUUAAGUUCUAAAGAGACUGUCCUUUUCAAUAUUCCAACAGCACGUCACCAGAAGAAUACCUGUAUUAAAAUUUGCCUUUGAGAUAGAAAUCUGAGAUCAUUAAAAGUACUACACUGAAGACUAAUUUCUAAAGGUAUAUUGAUAUGGGAGUAGUUAGGCGAUACAAUAGAUAAUGGAAUAAACCUAGAGUGAGGAAAACUCAUUUUAAUAAGUUUGAAUCCAGCUCAGACACUUACAAAGUGUGUGAUCCUGAGCAAGUCACUCACUCUAUUUGCCUCAGUUUCCUCAUCUGUAAAGUAAGCUGGAGAAGGAAAUUAUCUUUGACAAGAAAAUACCAAAUGAAGUCAUAAAGAAUCAAAUAUGGUUUUGAAAAAAAACUCAAUAACAUUAGCAUAGCAGAUAGCCAGUCUUAAAGCCAGGAAGACCUGUGUUCCAGUGCUACCUCUGACCCUGUGUGUUGCCCUGGACAAGUCACUUAACUUAGAAUUAUUCUAAGCAAUACUCCAAGACUAAAAGUUGCAGAAAAGGUGCCAACCCAUAUUAGUAUAAGGCAUUUCUUUAUCUGGAAGUUCCCCAACCAAUGAAAUCACAGAACCAGAUUUAAAGAUCCCUAUUCACUUCUGGGCUUAGUUCAUUGCUCAUUCAAGAUUUUUAAUUUUUGACUUGCCUGUUGCUCUUGGUGAGCAACUUCUUAUGUCAAUGAAACUCAAGUUGCUUUGGUAUAUUGAAGUUAAGUGAUAUAGCUAAGGCCACAUAUAGGGAUAGUCUUUCUGGUCUCAAUACUCUCUUUCUCUGUCUGGCUGGGCUCAUAUAGAAGAAUAUUUCAGAGGUAGAAUUUGAAAAUAGGUCUCCUGGACUCCUAGGAUGGCUCUCUAUCAGUUAUUCUAGUGCUUCCUAAUGGUUUUUAUUCCUUAAAUUCCUUUCACAACCAAAAAAAAAACGUAUUGGAAAUUUAAUAUACUUUUCAUAAUGUCAUUUAUUCAUUAAGGGCUUUCAGUAACUACAAGGAUAACUUUUGCUCCCAAAACUUCAAAUUAAAAUUUAUAUUAUAUAUUAUAAAAUAUAAAUUAUUAUUUAUAACUUAUAAUUAUAAAACUAAAUAUAAAAUUAUGAAACUAGAGAAUAAUCAUAAAUAUUUUAUGUAGCGCAUCCUGUAAGAAUCAGAAGAAUAAUUCAUUAGAACAUAUUUUUGCUAGUGUCUACAGGACUUCACAUUAAAAUUUCUUUAUUUUAUAACUUUUUCUAAAUACAAAUGACAUUUUAAUGAAAUAAAUUAUAUCUUGAAGGAUGUUUAACAUAAUGUAAUAAUCAUGUAUAAACUUUGGACAGUUUUUAUUUGAACAAAGUUUACAAUGUUUGGCUUAACACCAGCUAAAACCAUCUUUAAAUUUGGUUCUCCAUCACAUUUAUUUCUAUUAGUUUGAUUUAAAACAAAAAUAAAGUGAACAUAUUUAUAAAUGUGGUAGAAAAUGACAGGAUUUUACAAGUUCUUUUACUGAGAAAUAGAAAUUCAUUUUGUGUUUUUGUUCCCAACAAACUGAUGAGAAUGAAUAGCUUAUGAUAAAAACUAUUUACUUUUCUAUUGGUUAAUGACAAACAUUGUAUUGAUUAAUAAAUGGAUUUAAUAUUCAA
Antechinus flavipes (yellow-footed antechinus) is the source of this 2701-nucleotide long non-coding RNA. RefSeq lists it as uncharacterized. Lineage: Eukaryota; Metazoa; Chordata; Mammalia; Dasyuromorphia; Dasyuridae. The transcript is spliced from 2 exons. The record is from RefSeq and is a predicted model, not a curated record.